Potamilus streckersoni is the source of this 73-nucleotide non-coding RNA. The record is from the annotation of a GenBank genome assembly. Lineage: Eukaryota; Metazoa; Mollusca; Bivalvia; Unionida; Unionidae.
GCUCCGAUGACCUAGUGGUUAGAGCGUCCGCCUCGAAUGUGGGAGCUCUUGCGUUCGAUCCCCGGCCGAAACA